UACGUAGGGUGCAAGCGUUGUCCGGAAUUAUUGGGCGUAAAGAGCUCGUAGGCGGUUUGUCGCGUCGAAUGUGAAAACCCGGGGCUCAACCCCGGGCCUGCAUUCGAUACGGGCAGACUAGAGUUCGGUAGGGGAGUCUGGAAUUCCUGGUGUAGCGGUGAAAUGCGCAGAUAUCAGGAGGAACACCGGUGGCGAAGGCGGGACUCUGGGCCGAUACUGACGCUGAGACGCGAAAGCGUGGGGAGCGAACAGG
This 253-nucleotide ribosomal RNA is filed under the name uncultured bacterium. Its description in RNAcentral is "partial 16S ribosomal RNA". It matches the Rfam family "Bacterial small subunit ribosomal RNA", at positions 524 to 776 of the family's 1533-position model. The record is from RNAcentral.